CUACGGGCCGCUGCAGUGGGGAAUAUUGCACAAUGGGCGCAAGCCUGAUGCAGCCAUGCCGCGUGUAUGAAGAAGGCCUUCGGGUUGUAAAGUACUUUCAGCGGGGAGGAAGGGAGUAAAGUUAAUACCUUUGCUCAUUGACGUUACCCGCAGAAGAAGCACCGGCUAACUCCGUGCCAGCAGCCGCGGUAAUACGGAGGGUGCAAGCGUUAAUCGGAAUUACUGGGCGUAAAGCGCACGCAGGCGGUUUGUUAAGUCAGAUGUGAAAUCCCCGGGCUCAACCUGGGAACUGCAUCUAAUACUGGCAAGCUUGAGUCUCGUAGAGGGGGGUGGAAUUCCAGGUGUAGCGGUGAAAUGCGUAGAGAUCUGGAGGAAUACCGGUGGCGAAGGCGGCCCCCUGGACGAAGACUGACGCUCAGGUGCGAAAGCGUGGGGAGCAAACAGGAUUAGAUACCCGUGUAGUC
RNAcentral lists this ribosomal RNA (464 nucleotides) under uncultured bacterium. Its description in RNAcentral is "partial 16S ribosomal RNA". It matches the Rfam family "Bacterial small subunit ribosomal RNA", at positions 339 to 795 of the family's 1533-position model. The record is from RNAcentral.